Molecule: non-coding RNA, 30 nt
Filed under: Rattus norvegicus (Norway rat)
Lineage: Eukaryota; Metazoa; Chordata; Mammalia; Rodentia; Muridae
Source: RNAcentral
UCUGGAUUCGCUAGCCUAAGGCCAAUGAGC